UUAACAGUGGAAAAGCCCAAGCUGCUACUCUGCCAAUGGAGUAAACAUUCUUUAUUCUUUUGCUUUCUUAAUAAAUUUGUUUGCACUUUACUCUAUGGAUUCUCCUCAGGUUCUUUCUUGUGUGAGAUCCAAGAACCCUCUCUUAGGGUCUAGAUUUUCCAGUCUUCUUUCUGGUAACAUCUUCCUGGUGACCAUGAAGGGACAACACUGAAGAGACCCUUGACCCGGAGGAAAUAGACUACAGCACCAACUGGCCAACUUCGGGUAACUGUUGGGGUACGUUUUACCCAGGUAAAGGAUGGAAUUGGGUUAGAUGCCCAACUUAGAGGAGUUAGAGCUGCUCCUAAGACAGUGCGGGUUAAAGGACCCUCUUGAUAAAAGCUGCUGGGAAACUCAGAGUCAAACCUGAAUCCUACUACUGCAAAGAGCACAGGACCCUCAGGCAAACAUUGUAUAUACCCAAGUGGUCCCUGGCGCCACCUUCAUUUACUGCACCAGGUUUUCUUCCUUGUGAUGAUGUUCUCUCUCCCUCUCUUUUUUUUUUCAAUCCUGUUUUACUCUGCACAUUUCUGCAAGCCACAAAACUACUCCUUGAAGUAUGGAUAACAUAUAAACAAAGUGAACAAACAAAUCAGACAGGUGACUAUUGGCCUUCUUCCAAAUGAUGUGCCAUGAAGAACUUCUACUGAGUUCUACAAGAGCAUUCUGGGAGUGUUUCUCAAGACAAAGCUGACUUCUAGGUAGCUAUGGGGAGUGCCCGCAAGCCUGGGCUGCAGUGAAAGUCAGCAGGAUGGACUGGAAGAGCCAGAAGUCUGUGUGGGAGGUAUCAGCCCCUUCCUGCUGCUUCCUUCCCUUGGUUGAGGUAAAUGCUCCACUUCUUUCUCUGGGCCUCAGUUUUCUCAUCAGAAGAAUGAGAAGAGAUGCUUACUGGUUAGGUCUGCUUAGGAAGAGAGAAAGACAAGUAUAGAACUUGCCCUGGAAGAGCAACCCAAGCCUAGCUGACCCACAUGGAAGAGCAGCUCUCCCUACUUCCAAAUCUUUCCCUUUCUUCCUUUCUUGCUUGCUUUCUUGCUUUCCUUCCUU
Cebus imitator (Panamanian white-faced capuchin) is the source of this 1083-nucleotide long non-coding RNA. RefSeq lists it as uncharacterized. The transcript has 3 exons. The record is from RefSeq and is a predicted model, not a curated record. NCBI's taxonomy places the organism in Eukaryota, Metazoa, Chordata, Mammalia, Primates, Cebidae.